CCUACGGGAGGCUGCAGUAGGGAAUCUUUCACAAUGGGCGCAAGCCUGAUGGAGCAACGCCGCGUGCAGGAUGAAGGCCCUCGGGUUGUAAACUGCUUUUAUAAGCGAGAAAUAUGAUGGUAACUUAUGAAUAAGGAUCGGCUAACUACGUGCCAGCAGCCGCGGUCAUACGUAGGAUCCGAGCAUUAUCCGGAGUGACUGGGUGUAAAGAGUUGUGUAGGUGGCAUAAUAAGUAGCUAGUGAAAUCUGGUGGCUCAACCAUUCAGACUAUUAGCUAAACUGUUAAGCUCGAGACCGUUAGGGGCAUCUGGAAUUUCUAGUGUAGGAGUGAAAUCCGUAGAUAUUAGAAGGAACACCGAUAGCGUAGGCAGGAUGCUGGGACGGUUCUGACACUAAGGCACGAAAGCGUAGGGAGCAAACGGGAUUAGAUACCCCAGUAGUC
This 442-nucleotide ribosomal RNA is filed under the name uncultured bacterium. Its description in RNAcentral is "partial 16S ribosomal RNA". It matches the Rfam family "Bacterial small subunit ribosomal RNA", at positions 338 to 795 of the family's 1533-position model. The record is from RNAcentral.